This 253-nucleotide ribosomal RNA is filed under the name uncultured bacterium. RNAcentral's name for it is "partial 16S ribosomal RNA". It matches the Rfam family "Bacterial small subunit ribosomal RNA", at positions 524 to 776 of the family's 1533-position model. The record is from RNAcentral.
UACGUAGGGUGCGAGCGUUAAUCGGAAUUACUGGGCGUAAAGCGUGCGCAGGCGGUCUUUUAAGUCAGAUGUGAGAUCCCCGGGCUUAACCUGGGAACUGCGUUUGAAACUGGAAGGCUAGAGUGUGGCAGAGGGGGGUGGAAUUCCACGUGUAGCAGUGAAAUGCGUAGAGAUGUGGAGGAACACCGAUGGCGAAGGCAGCCCCCUGGGCUAACACUGACGCUCAUGCACGAAAGCGUGGGGAGCAAACAGG